Long non-coding RNA from Macrobrachium nipponense, 561 nucleotides. RefSeq lists it as uncharacterized. NCBI's taxonomy places the organism in Eukaryota, Metazoa, Arthropoda, Malacostraca, Decapoda, Palaemonidae. The record is from RefSeq and is a predicted model, not a curated record. The transcript has 3 exons.
CCGGAUGACGUUGGCAGAAGGUCUCUUCCUCUAUGGUGAAAUUGGUAGGGACAGUAGCCUGCAGCUCGUAAAAGUACUCUGGCUCAUCGUUGGAAGGAAAGCCCUGUGGAAUGAAAAUGGAGGUAGUUCUGAGGUAAGAAUUGAAUUGAUACCUAAAACAUCAACCUAAAACAUCAAGUAGCAUAUGUUGAGUGGACUGCCUUGAAGUCUAAAUAAUCCUAGGGUCAGGAUAAUCAAAUGAAGCAAACAACAUAUCUAUGCCAACAUUUACUGAUUUGAUAGUUUUAGGUGGGAUUCGCUCUUCUCAGUCAAAGGGUGAUUGUGCAUAGACUGGGGAAGCCAAGCAGAAUUUUGGACAUCUUCAGCUAUAUAAUACGUAUGAGUAUUACAGGACUGGAUUGAAUUGAAUUGAAUUGAAUUGAAUAUAGGAUUUAGGCAUUAAGCCAAGCACUGGGGCAUCAAAGGCCAUUCAGCGCAGGACUGGAUUGGAAACAGCCAAUAAACAUCGAUAUAUUACUACUAUGUGACUGCAAAAAAGACUAAUAAUAAUUGUGUAACAGU